RNA transcript from Pan troglodytes (chimpanzee), 2268 nucleotides. It is a transcript of the gene named SUMO1 activating enzyme subunit 1, with no coding region annotated. NCBI's taxonomy places the organism in Eukaryota, Metazoa, Chordata, Mammalia, Primates, Hominidae. The record is from RefSeq and is marked provisional. The transcript is spliced from 10 exons.
CAGGCGUGGGAGGGUCUGCGCAUGCGCAGAAACACUGCGGGCGUGCUGCCGGCGGCGGUAGGUGGCGCGCGGGUCCGGCGGGCGGUUGGCGUGAGCGGGACCGGAGCUGAGGCAGGAAGAGCCGGCGCCAUGGUGGAGAAGGAGGAGGCUGGCGGCGGCAUCAGCGAGGAGGAGGCGGCACAGUAUGACCGGCAGAUCCGCCUGUGGGGACUGGAGGCCCAGAAACGGCUGCGGGCCUCUCGGGUGCUUCUUGUCGGCUUGAAAGGACUUGGGGCUGAAAUUGCCAAGAAUCUCAUCUUGGCAGGAGUGAAAGGACUGACCAUGCUGGAUCACGAACAGGUAACUCCAGAAGAUCCCGGAGCUCAGUUCUUGAUUCGUACUGGGUCUGUUGGCCGAAAUAGGGCUGAAGCCUCUUUGGAGCGAGCUCAGAAUCUCAACCCCAUGGUGGAUGUGAAGGUGGACACUGAGGAUAUAGAGAAGAAACCAGAGUCAUUUUUCACUCAAUUCGAUGCUGUGUGUCUGACUUGCUGCUCCAGGGAUGUCAUAGUUAAAGUUGACCAGAUCUGUCACAAAAAUAGCAUCAAGUUCUUUACAGGAGAUGUUUUUGGCUACCAUGGAUACACAUUUGCCAAUCUAGGAGAGCAUGAGUUUGUAGAGGAGAAAACUAAAGUUGCCAAAGUUAGCCAAGGAGUAGAAGAUGGGCCUGACACCAAGAGAGCAAAACUUGAUUCUUCUGAGACAACGAUGGUCAAAAAGAAGGUGGUCUUCUGCCCUGUUAAAGAAGCCCUGGAGGUGGACUGGAGCAGUGAGAAAGCAAAGGCUGCUCUGAAGCGCACGACCUCCGACUACUUUCUCCUUCAAGAAUUGUUUCCUAGAAUUGUUGAGAGGGUUUAUGCCCAGAGACAUCCCAGAAGCACUGAACGCACUCAUGCCAAGAUGUUAAUACCUUUCCUCACUAAAGAGAAACCAGGGUUCCUUGGAGAAAUGGCUGUUUCCAGAUCUGGGGUAGGAAAAUUACAGUGCUCUUAAAGUUCCGUACAGAUAAAGGAAGAGAUCCCAGUUCUGAUACAUAUGAGGAAGAUUCUGAGUUGUUGCUCCAGAUACGAAAUGAUGUGCUUGACUCACUGGGUAUUAGUCCUGACCUGCUUCCUGAGGACUUUGUCAGGUACUGCUUCUCCGAGAUGGCCCCAGUGUGUGCGGUGGUUGGAGGGAUUUUGGCACAGGAAAUUGUGAAGGCCCUGUCUCAGCGGGACCCUCCUCACAACAACUUCUUCUUCUUCGAUGGCAUGAAGGGGAAUGGGAUUGUGGAGUGCCUUGGCCCCAAGUGAACUCAAGAUUUGGCAGCCCCAGAGAUGCCAACUGCAGCAUGCCCGCCUGUAUUCCCUGUCCCCUUCCUUCAUGAAGGCAUCUCCAGGCAAGGAAAACUGAAGUCAUUGGCCUGAUACAAAACAUUUCCUGCAACAAAGGAGGUGGUGCCGACGUGCUGCUUCCCAUCACCAGCAGCCGCUCGACAAGGGGCGCAGGGUGGCUGUCUUUGUUCCAGCACUGUUCAGGCUGCCUGUCAUCCCGGGCCUGCCAGCUCCCCUGAGUGAUGAGCACUUCCAAGCACCCCUCUGCCCUUUCUCUGUCCUUAUGCUGUCCCGGCCUCGCCAGCCCUCUGGGGCAUUGUGGGAGAUGCCUGCCAGGAAUGAGCACGCUCUGUUGCUCGGGAGCCUCUUGCCACCUUCUUGGACUUAUUCCCCACCUGAUAUCUUAUAGAGAAAAGUGUGAAUUCAGGUGGAGAGUAGGCCCAGGCCCCAUGAGGCACCAGUGGAAGCACAGCUCCAAGUUCAGACAGGUGCCCUUAGAGAGGAAAACCAUGACAGGCAAAUGCAUUUCCUCUGGAGUUUGAGACCCUGACAAACAACAGGUGGCAUCUGGUGUGCUGUUCUUGAGUUUUCGUUUAGGAUUAGUUGAGUUCCAGCUGGGUUUUGGGAGAAAGGAGAUGCUACCAAGUCUUGGAUGUUAGGGCGAGACCCUGCAAGUUGAGUAUUAGAGAGCUUGUCUUUCAAGGCAGGUUCCUGGGGCUUCAGGGCUAGGAGGGAGGAGCCUGCCCUUUUAACAGAACCCCAGUCACAUGCGGCCCAAGUCACUCAGAGGCUGUUGCAUUUCAGGGCUGUGUUGGUCCUUUGUUUACCUCCUAAACCACAGCUGUUUGUGUUUCACAUAUGUUGUGAAUUUUCCUUGGUUCUUUUUAAAGGAAUGAUAAUAAAGUUACUUGCUUUAGGA